AACCGUCUAAUGGUUGGUUCCCCCCGAAGUUUCCCUCAGGAUAGCUGUGUCUAAGUAGUGCCAGUUGCACGCGGUAAAGCGAAUGAUUAGGUGUCUCGGGACCUUAUUGGUCUCGGCUCAUUCUCAAACUGUGAAUAGUGUGCGUCCACACGUGACUUAUCAGCACGUUGGGUUAAUGGCCAGAUGCAAGUGGGCUGGUUUUGGUAAGCAGAACUGGCGAUGUGGGAUCAACCAAACGUCAUGUUAAGGUGCCCAACUGCAUGCUAACGGAUUACACAAAAGGUGUUGGGUGGUGAUGACAGCAGGACGGUGGCCAUGGAAGUCGGCAUCCGCUAAGA
Molecule: ribosomal RNA, 338 nt
Filed under: Entomoneis paludosa
Lineage: Eukaryota; Bacillariophyta; Bacillariophyceae; Surirellales; Surirellaceae
Description: Amphiprora paludosa partial Eukaryotic large subunit ribosomal RNA
Rfam family: Eukaryotic large subunit ribosomal RNA
Source: RNAcentral